Long non-coding RNA from Cyprinus carpio carpio, 311 nucleotides. Lineage: Eukaryota; Metazoa; Chordata; Actinopteri; Cypriniformes; Cyprinidae. The record is from Ensembl.
GCAUAUUUAGGGCCAUGCAGGCGCGCGCAGGCAGCAGAGGCACCAUGUUUAAGAUCUUAAAGUCUGCGGUUGCUUCACUAAACCUACAUGCUUGUGCAAGGUAUCUUGAGGUAUGAGAUCUUCUGUGAAUCGUUUCCAUCAAUGCAUCAGUCAAUCAAUCUUCACCAACACCACACGCCAUCAACAACUCUCUUUUGUUGUUUCUUCUAAUGAAAACAGCUCUCUAUGAGAGUUCUGAUGAGUUCGAGUGAUGAACGAGGACACAGUUUGGUGAGAGUAAGUGAAAAUCACACUCUCUUCCUCCACUCAGC